GGCCAGGGAGCCGUGAAGCGAGCCACCUGGGAAGUACGGCCGCAAGGCUGAAACUUAAAGGAAUUGGCGGGGGAGCACAACAACGGGUGGAGCCUGCGGUUUAAUUGGACUCAACGCCGGACAACUCACCGGGGACGACAGCAAUAUGUAGGCCAGGCUGAAGACCUUGCCUGAAUCGCUGAGAGGAGGUGCAUGGCCGUCGCCAGUUCGUACUGUGAAGCAUCCUGUUAAGUCAGGCAACGAGCGAGACCCGUGCCCACUGUUACCAGCAUGUCCUCCGGGAUGAUGGGUACUCUGUGGGGACCA
This 306-nucleotide ribosomal RNA is filed under the name Methanosarcina sp. enrichment culture clone CIBANICRA-MBT2. Its description in RNAcentral is "bacterial SSU rRNA". It matches the Rfam family "Archaeal small subunit ribosomal RNA", at positions 801 to 1107 of the family's 1478-position model. Lineage: Archaea; Methanobacteriati; Methanobacteriota; Methanomicrobia; Methanosarcinales; Methanosarcinaceae. The record is from RNAcentral.